GUUGUUAAAGAAGAACACGUAUGAGAGUAACUGUUCAUACGUUGACGGUAUUUAACCAGAAAGUCACGGCUAACUACGUGCCAGCAGCCGCGGUAAUACGUAGGUGGCAAGCGUUAUCCGGAUUUAUUGGGCGUAAAGAGAGUGCAGGCGGUUUUCUAAGUCUGAUGUGAAAGCCUUCGGCUUAACCGGAGAAGUGCAUCGGAAACUGGAUAACUUGAGUGCAGAAGAGGGUAGUGGAACUCCAUGUGUAGCGGUGGAAUGCGUAGAUAUAUGGAAGAACACCAGUGGCGAAGGCGGCUACCUGGUCUGCAACUGACGCUGAGACUCGAAAGCAUGGGGUAGCGAACAGGAUUAGACUACCCCUGGUAG
Molecule: ribosomal RNA, 369 nt
Filed under: uncultured bacterium
Lineage: Bacteria
Description: bacterial SSU rRNA
Rfam family: Bacterial small subunit ribosomal RNA
Source: RNAcentral